UUUUGGACUUGCAACCGAUCAACCAAUGACGUGCAACCAUACAUCAUACAACCCAACAAUAAAAGAAAUAAAAAUUAAUUAUAUUUGAUAACUUUUAUCUCUAACCUAUUGAAACACGCAGGUCUCCAAAUAAAUCGGCUUGUGCACGCAGGCACAAAAAUAGCCCUCUCUAAUGCAAAUUCCUUAAUUUAAAUAAAUUUAAAAUUACAGGAUUCUACAUACACAUCAUACAUCACAUGUCGAAACAAAAAUAUAGGUCGCUAUCGAUGAUCAUCACUGAUAUGCAUCUCAUACAUCACAUUCAUAAUAAUUAACUUUGGAUAACUAAUAACAAUCAAUCUUAUUGAUCGUUAUAAAUUUGAUCAACAAUUUAAUCUACAAAUAUAACAUCUUGAUCUCAUCAAGAAAUCAAUUUGAUCUAAUCAAAUUUGAUCCUCCUCUUUUUUUUCUUUUUAUUUUAAAACGAUCUAAUCAAAUUUUAAAAGUUAAAAAAAUAAAAAAAAUUUUGCCUCCCGUACGGACACUACAGUAGCGUCUGCACGAUGCUACAGUAACAUCCCGUACGACGCUACAGUAGCGUCUGUACGGUGCUACAGUAUUUUUUUUUUUUUUUUGCUUGAAAACAAGAAACCGUUGAUUAAGUUGUUUGAUCAAUUUGGACUUUUCGAAUUAGCCAAAAAUGAUUUAUAAAUCGUUCUACCGGAGAAAAAUAGUUUAAAAUAUCCAAAUUUAUAAUUUUAAUCUUAAAAACAUGAGGAUGUCUCUGAUAUCACUGUUAGAAAAUUGCGUACGGUAAAAACGCAGCGGAAAAAGAAUCAAACAAAUUUGAUUUUGAAAACUUUCGAGAUCCAAUCUCAAAAACACGCAAUUAGGAUCCCUCAUGUUCUUUAAGAUUAAAGGAGAAAAGUAAGAUCGAAUCUUUACCUUUUUCGCGGAUAAAUCUUCACCUCAACUUGAUGAUCGUGGAAUUGGGUUCUCUUAAAGCCACACACAUGUCCGGCCUCUAUUGGUAUCCACACGAGGUUCUUGAUUUGAUCGAUAUCCUUACCGGGGUGCUAGCUCUCUUGCAAAAUGACGUCUUUCUUGCUAGAAUAUGGAAGAGAGAGGAGAGAAGAGAUGACGGCUAGGGUUUUCUAAAAAUUCCCAUAUUAUUAUAUAGAAGAAUAUAAUCCUCUUAUUAAUAAUAUAAUAACCAUUAAGGAUAAGUACAAAUCUAAAUUUAAAUUUCUCCUUUUCUUAAUUGGUUAGAUCGAUCAAAUCCUAAUUUGAUUCGACUUGAACUUUAUAUUAAUUUGAUCAUAUCAAAUUAAUAAUGCAACAUUUGCACAUAAAUCCUCUUAUAAUUUACUAACUAUU
This 1356-nucleotide long non-coding RNA is filed under the name Ananas comosus (pineapple). RNAcentral's name for it is "long non-coding RNA (ACOM_LNC001062)". The record is from RNAcentral. Lineage: Eukaryota; Viridiplantae; Streptophyta; Magnoliopsida; Poales; Bromeliaceae.